This is a long non-coding RNA of Macaca mulatta (Rhesus monkey), 1944 nucleotides long. The record is from Ensembl. Lineage: Eukaryota; Metazoa; Chordata; Mammalia; Primates; Cercopithecidae.
GUGGCUCACACCUGUAAUCCCAGCACUUUGGGAGGCUGAGGCGAGUGGAUCACCUGAGGUCAGGAGUUCGAGACCAGCCUGGCCAACAUAGUGAAACUCCAUCUGUACUAAAAAUACAAAAUUAGCUGGGCAUGUUUGUGCACACCUGUAAUCCCAGCUACUUGGGAGGCUGAGGCAGAAGAAUUGGUUGAAUCCAGGAAGCAGAGGUUGCAGUGAGAUGAAAUUGCACCACUGCACUCCAGCCUGGGCAACAGGUGAGAUUCCAUCUCAGAAAAAAAAAAAAAAAGGAAGGAAGGAAGGAAGGAAACUUGCACUUGGCGUGAUUGACUGGAUCUUGGUUCACUGGAUCUUGGUUCACGGCAGCCUCAACCUCCCAGGCCCAAGCAAUACCCCAGCCUCCCAAGUAGCUGGGACCACAGAUGUAUACCACCAUACCCGGCUACUUUUUAAAUUUUUGUAGAGACAGGGCCUCCCUAUGUUGCCCAGGCUGGUCUUGAACUCCUAGACUCAAGUGAUGCUCCCACCUUGGCCUCCCAAAGUGAGGGGAUUACAGUUAAGAACCACCACACUCAGCCUUGACCACAGUCCUAAAGACCCAGAAGGAGCACAUCUCCUUCCAGCCAUGUUUCACUCGUGAGAACUUAGUUGGCUGCAUCAAACUGCAAAGGAGGCUGGAAAUACAUUUGAGCUGGUUCUUUGAAAUACAUGUGAAUGGAUAUUGACACAUGAAUGGAUAUAGUCUCUCUCCCCUCAUCUUUACCUCAUGGCUCAAAGAGUGAGAGGAAUGAGGGAAUCAAGGACAUUAGCAGCUACUCACUGGUGGGUGUGUGUGUGUGUGUGUGCACGCGCGCACGUGUUGAUCUGGAAAUCAGUUUACUUUGAGCUUGAGGAACCAGGUAUAGAGGCACCACCUGCCACUCUGAUCCCACAAGCGUAGGUUGGAUGUCUCCCAGUGGAGCAGUGUCUGUACUGGGCUUGCCUCCCCAGAGAACUCCCCCAGAAAACCUAGUGUAAGACAAGAAGGUUUGUUGCUCUAGGAUGGCCAAGGGCCACAAGCUGCCUGGUGAUCAGCAUACCUGGAGGGAUUGAGUACCAUGUGGCAUCCUGACGGGCUCCUGUCCCCAUCCUGGAUCUGGCCUGGGCAAGAGGUACUGGCUGAUGCACACACCUUGCCUGUCAUGAUGACUGUCACUGAUUUCUCCUCCCCACUGCCCAAGACACAAUGAGCCCUGUAGCUCCUGGUGCAAGGCCGUGACCUCAGAGGGCUGUGGUUUGAUUUGUGAAAGUUGAAUCUCUCAUGGAUUGGGCUGCUGAGAGGCCCUUGUUAAUUACUUGGUAGUGGCAGGUGAAAACAGGGCAGGUGUUGGAUACCCAAAGAUAGACACCAGGAUCUCUGGACUCUUUCUUUUUGCUUCAUGUGGGAAUGAAAAGGAGCAAGGCUGUUGUUCAGCCCCUGAAGCUCAGAAAGCUGGCUGACUGACCUACACCGCCCUCAGCCCUAGGGACAUUUCAAGCCUAUGCUUUUGCUUGGGGCUUUAAGCAAAAUCUGAGUUCCACUGUUCUGCUCCAAGAAGUCCAGUAUAGUCACCCCCAUAUUCUGGGCACCCUAUAUAUUCCAUUAGAGCCCUUGAAAAUUAAUGGACUGACCGGGUGCAGUGGCUUAUGCCUGUAAUCCCAGCACUUUGGGAGGCCAAGGUGGGUGGAUCACUUGAGGUCAGGAGUUCGAGACUAGCCUGGCCAACAUGGUAAAGCCCUAUAUCUACUAAAAAUACAAAAAAUUAGCCGGGUGUGGUGGUGGGCACCUGUAAUCCCAGCUACUAGGGAGGCUGAAGCAGGAGAAUCUCUUGAACCUGGGAGGCAGAGGUUGCAGUGAGCCAAGAUCAUGCCACUGCACUCCAGCCUGGGCAACAAGAGUGAAACUCCGUCACAAAAAAAAAAAAAAAA